This 218-nucleotide long non-coding RNA is filed under the name Lathyrus oleraceus (garden pea). Its description in RNAcentral is "Pisum sativum (pea) long non-coding RNA (PSAT_LNC007338)". The record is from RNAcentral. Lineage: Eukaryota; Viridiplantae; Streptophyta; Magnoliopsida; Fabales; Fabaceae.
UUGAGGGCAAAAUGGGUUUUUUUGUUGAACCUAAAAAACCCUAAAGUGUGAGUAUUUAAGCAUUUUGUGAACAAACCAAUAAAGGGAACGAAAACCAAUCCAAAAUACUAAACUUCGCAUUUGGAUAUGUGGAUCAAUCUCUUUCAUUUUGAAACUGGAAAUGUACAAAAAAGAAAGAAAAUUAGAAACAGAAAAGAAAAAAGAAAAAAGUUAUCUCG